GUGGGGAAUAUUGGACAAUGGGCGCAAGCCUGAUCCAGCCAUGCCGCGUGUGUGAAGAAGGUCUUCGGAUUGUAAAGCACUUUAAGUUGGGAGGAAGGGCAGUAAGUUAAUACCUUGCUGUUUUGACGUUACCAACAGAAUAAGCACCGGCUAACUUCGUGCCAGCAGCCGCGGUAAUACGAAGGGUGCAAGCGUUAAUCGGAAUUACUGGGCGUAAAGCGCGCGUAGGUGGUUCAGCAAGUUGGAGGUGAAAUCCCCGGGCUCAACCUGGGAACUGCCUCAAAAACUGCAUGACUAGAGUACGGUAGAGGGUAGUGGAAUUUCCUGUGUAGCGGUGAAAUGCGGAGAUAUAGGAAGGAACACCAGUGGCGAAGGCGACUACCUGGACUGAUACUGACACUGAGGUGCGAAAGCGUGGGGAGCAAACAGGAUUAGAAACCCUGGUAGUCC
RNAcentral lists this ribosomal RNA (450 nucleotides) under uncultured bacterium. RNAcentral's name for it is "partial 16S ribosomal RNA". It matches the Rfam family "Bacterial small subunit ribosomal RNA", at positions 354 to 796 of the family's 1533-position model. The record is from RNAcentral.